CACUUUUCCAUUUUCUUGCUCUUGAUUAAAGAGCACUGAGAAUCUCUCAAAAUAGAAGCGAGGCUUGAAUUACAUCUGCCUCAAAAGGAAGGAAGAUAACAAGAAAACGAAGAGAAAACUUAAUUAAUUGUUGUUUGUAUCAUGUAGGGCUUUACUAGAGGAACCUUCUCCUUACCUGAUGAAGCUGUGGUAAAGCAUAGAAGAUAGAUGAGGGAAUCAUGACUGUACAGAUAAGCCAUGCUAACCACCACUGCUGACAUCAGUGGUGACACACAAACCAACAGAGCACCUCAAGUCCUUCCCACAGCAUUUGGGAUAAGCUCCAAAGCAUCUGCCCAGAACAAAGUGCUCCCAACAGGACCUUCAUUCAGUGACUGGUCUAACCGGCACAGCUCUCUCACCAUCACCUCUCUUCGACCAGAGCCAUAGGUUCCCCUCGCUUCCCAGCCCAAGCCUCAGCCUGCAGACCUGGGUUGAUAUGGUUUGUGUUACUCAGAUAAAAAGCCUUUGCACGGCAGGAAGAAGAGCAACAAUUUGCCAACUCAAGCUGCAUUUGCCAUCUGUUAUCCAAGAACUCAGCAGACUGUCUGUUCCAUCAGUGCAAUAAUAUUAUGUUGUUUUAAUGACCCCG
Long non-coding RNA from Gallus gallus (chicken), 631 nucleotides. The record is from Ensembl. NCBI's taxonomy places the organism in Eukaryota, Metazoa, Chordata, Aves, Galliformes, Phasianidae.